GAUGAACGCUGACAGAAUGCUUAACACAUGCAAGUCGAUGGGGAAGUGUUGCUUGCACCAUGGUAACCAUGGCGGACGGGUGAGUAACACGUAAGGAACUUACCUGCGGGACCGGGAUAACAUCAGGAAACUGCUGACAAGACCGGAUAAGGUCAUUAAGCUGCAUAGCUUAGUGAUGAAAGGAGACGCCUGCGGAGAGCCUUGCGUCCUAUUAGCUAGUUGGAGGGGUAACGGCCCACCAAGGCGAAGAUAGGUAGCCGGCCUGAGAGGGUGGACGGCCACAAGGGGACUGAGAUACGGCCCUUACUCCUACGGGAGGCAGCAGUGGGGAAUAUUGGACAAUGGGGGCAACCCUGAUCAAGCAAUUCUGUGUGCACGAAGACGGUUUUCGGAUUGUAAAGUGCUUUCAGCAGGGAAGAAGGAAGUGACGGUACCUGCAGAAGAAGCGACGGCUAAAUACGUG
RNAcentral lists this ribosomal RNA (463 nucleotides) under uncultured bacterium. Its description in RNAcentral is "partial 16S ribosomal RNA". It matches the Rfam family "Bacterial small subunit ribosomal RNA", at positions 28 to 507 of the family's 1533-position model. The record is from RNAcentral.